RNAcentral lists this ribosomal RNA (581 nucleotides) under uncultured diatom. RNAcentral describes it as "bacterial SSU rRNA". It matches the Rfam family "Bacterial small subunit ribosomal RNA", at positions 47 to 667 of the family's 1533-position model. The record is from RNAcentral. Lineage: Eukaryota; Bacillariophyta.
CCUAACACAUGCAAGUCGUACGAAAGUUUUUAACUUUAGUGGCGGACGGGUGAGUAACACGUGAGAAUUUGCCUUUAGGAGGGGGAUAACAAUUGGAAACGAAUGCUAAUACCCCAUAUGCUUUUGAGUAAAAUGGAUUUAUCCGCCUAGAGAGAAGCUCGCGGCUGAUUAGCUUGUUGGUAAGGUAAGAGCUUACCAAGGCGACGAUCAGUAUCUGGUUUGAGAGGACGAUCAGACACACUGGAACUGAGACACGGUCCAGACUCCUACGGGAGGCAGCAGUGGGGAAUUUUCCGCAAUGGGCGCAAGCCUGACGGAGCAAUACCGCGUGAGGGAAGACUGCCUAUGGGUUGUAAACCUCUUUUUUCAGGGAGGAAUAAAAUGACGUGUACCUGAAGAAUAAGCAUCGGCUAACUCCGUGCCAGCAGCCGCGGUAAGACGGAGGAUGCAAGUGUUAUCCGGAAUCACUGGGCGUAAAGCGUCUGUAGGUUGUUUAAUAAGUCAACUGUUAAAUCUUGAAGCUCAACUUCAAAAUCGCAGUCGAAACUAUUAGACUAGAGUAUAGUAGAGGUAAAGGGAAU